CAGUCGCCACGGUAAUACAGAGGGUGCGAGCGUUAAUCGGAUUUACUGGGCGUAAAGCGUGCGUAGGCGGCUUCUUAAGUCGGAUGUGAAAUCCCUGAGCUUAACUUAGGAAUUGCAUUCGAUACUGGGAAGCUAGAGUAUGGGAGAGGAUGGUAGAAUUCCAGGUGUAGCGGUGAAAUGCGUAGAGAUCUGGAGGAAUACCGAUGGCGAAGGCAGCCAUCUGGCCUAAUACUGACGCUGAGGUACGAAAGCAUGGGGAGCAAACAGGAUUAGAGACCCCUGUAGUCCCUGUCUCUUAUAC
This 301-nucleotide ribosomal RNA is filed under the name uncultured bacterium. RNAcentral describes it as "partial 16S ribosomal RNA". It matches the Rfam family "Bacterial small subunit ribosomal RNA", at positions 509 to 807 of the family's 1533-position model. The record is from RNAcentral.